AAAAUAAGAUGAUUAAAGGCAAGACGGAGGCUGACUGACAUACUUUAAAAUAUAUUUCAGCAUUUUGUUAAUCGACGGCCUACCCCUGAGUACCCCAAUCUGAUCGCGGCUCUCCCGGGGUUAGUUCUAAGGAGGGAACCUCAACGGGCUUGCCGGAGAUCUCCAAGGAAAAGGAAGCCAGCACCUCAAACUCCACUGAGGACACAUUUCACAGUACAUCACAACAGAGUGACUCUACCUAUGAAGAACAUGAUAUGGGCGACCAUGGAGAGGAGCUGAGAACUCUGCAGGACGCAUUAGCCAAUCACAAGCAGGACGUCAUAAAUCUGAAGUUUUACUCAAGUCAAAGGAUGGCCAACUCCAUCAUCUUCAAAAGGAACUUCAGUAUGCACACACCUCAGAUGCUUUAAACCCUAAGAUUUUAAACCAAAGCCAUGUACCUGAUUAUUUCCACUACUGCACAGGGUUUUCUUAUGAGCAAUUACACUGCUUGUGUCAAUUUUUUAACAUUCCAACUGAUCCAAGUGCACCACAAACACACAUUCCUCUCUCAUACAAACGUGUC
Long non-coding RNA from Sinocyclocheilus grahami, 565 nucleotides. RefSeq lists it as uncharacterized. The transcript is spliced from 3 exons. NCBI's taxonomy places the organism in Eukaryota, Metazoa, Chordata, Actinopteri, Cypriniformes, Cyprinidae. The record is from RefSeq and is a predicted model, not a curated record.